GGGACGUACAGGUCCAGGGUGGAAACACAGCAGACAAAAGUCCCCGUGUCGAAUAGUAGUGGGAUCGCGCCUGUGAAUAGGCAGCGGUUGGUAGCCUGUCCAAUAAAGUUGGACUCGAUCCUUUUUUUGCUUCAUCUUUUGAACAUAAUUAAAGGAUUUUGUAUUAUUUAUAUAUUUUAAUGUCAGUUAUCAGUAAAUUAUAACAUGUACAUUUCGACCAAACAAAAAAAGGGGGG
Molecule: long non-coding RNA, 236 nt
Filed under: Mytilus galloprovincialis (Mediterranean mussel)
Lineage: Eukaryota; Metazoa; Mollusca; Bivalvia; Mytilida; Mytilidae
Rfam family: Metazoan signal recognition particle RNA (bases 1-124)
About the family: The signal recognition particle (SRP) is a universally conserved ribonucleoprotein. It is involved in the co-translational targeting of proteins to membranes.
Source: RNAcentral